Molecule: long non-coding RNA, 3222 nt
Organism: Brassica rapa (field mustard)
Lineage: Eukaryota; Viridiplantae; Streptophyta; Magnoliopsida; Brassicales; Brassicaceae
Source: RefSeq, a predicted model, not a curated record
GACUCGAGAUAAACCCGUCCCCUACACCACUUAAUUUUACCACACGAGACAGAGACAUACAAACCCAAACACAAUAAAAUCUAUACAAGAUGACUUCAUAAAACCAUAGCAUUGUCUUAAGAUAUGUAUAUUAAUAUAGAAACCUCUUUUAUAUCCUCCUUAUUAUAUUUGAAAAUCAAAUGCAAAAGUAAUAUAUAAAUUUGAAACAUAUAUUGUAAGUUAAAUAUUAAUUAUUUUAUCAAUUAUAAAUUUGGUUCUUAAAACUACAAGUACAUUUUAAUAUUUUAUAUAAUUACUCCCCAUCUAAAGUGUACGCAUCAACAAAAAAAAACAUUAAAUUGUAUUCACAAUUUUCUUAAUAUAUAAUAACAUAUAGUCAUUAAUUUUUAUUUAAUGUUAACUGAAAUAAUAUAUUAAAAAUAACAGUUAAAUUAAUAUAUAAAAUCUAAAUAUUAUUACAUAGAAAAUAUUAAAAUAUGUUUAUAUAAAAUAAUAUAUAGAGUUCUAUUUUUAGUCAAAAUUGUUCUUCUAGGAUUAGUUAUAUACUAUAUAUUAGAAUGUGGAUUAAUUCUAAAAUAUAAUAAUUAUAUUUGGAUAUAAUCUAAUGAUUAUUACUUUAUUUUACUAAUAUAUACAUUUUAGAUGAAGAGAAAACUCCAUACUAUAUAUAAAAUUAUAGCUAGUUGGCUUAUAAAUAUAGCACCAUUAUAUUUUUGAACAUUAAUAUAUCACCAAAAUUUACUCCAAAUCCAAGUCAAAUAGAGCAAUUAUAUAGUAAAAACCAAUUUAUUUGCUACCAAAUCUAGUAGAGUAGAAUAUUUCCUUACAAUACAUCAAUUUUGACUUUAUAAAGAAGUAAUAUGUCAUCAUAACUAAUCACAAAAUCCCAAAACAAACAAUAAAAAUCCUCAUAUCAUAAGAGAAAAAAUGGAUUGCAAAAGAUCUUUACAUGCUUUCAUUGUGGUAUCAAUCAUCACUAUGUUCUUGAUUUCAGGACAUGUAGAUGCUGAUGGUGACUCUUGCAAGUAUAGUCCUGGACCAUGUACAAAAACUUGCAACUUUGUUUGCUCAGGAUUUGGCUUUAAAUAUGGAGGAGACUGUGAGGGUACCAUAUGUUGCUGCAAGAGAGCAGCAUCUGAUCUACAAAUCUCAACACCAAAUUAGUUCCCUUUAGACUUCUUCCCUCAUUUUGUUUGAUGUAAUCUUAAUAAUAUAUUUUGUUAUCAUUCCAUGAUGCAUGAGAUGAUUAGAAUAAUAUAUAAUCUUGUGAAACUUAAAAUUAAAACUCAGAAUAAACUUAUGUGAAAUUUAAGUAUCAUAUAUAUUAAUUCAUAUGAGAAAUCACGAAAAUAUAUAAACCUACACAGACAGUAAAUAUAUUUUUCUCGGAAUGUAACUUAAUUAUAUAGGUAUAUAAUAUACUCAUUCAUAGAAAAUGAAUUAUAAUAUAAUCAUAUAUAUAUAUACAUAUUAUUCGAAGUGAAUUGAUUCAAUUUUUUAGAUUCAUAAGAACAUCUCUAGUGUAUUAAAAAAUUAAAUUCAUAGAUGUUUUGUGGUUAUUUCUAGAUAGAAAAAUGCAGCCGCAAAUUUUGUGUAGUUGAUUUGUGACUAAUUUCAAAUUUUCUGGUAGUGGGCAGAGUCUUUGUGGAUGGAAUUAUGGAACUGUGGCAUUCAUAUUUUGUUUAGGAUGAUUCUUUGAGGACUCAUUUUGUAGAAACUGUUGUUAAAGAGUCAUUCGGAUUUUUUCUAAAUUUUCAUCAGAUAUAUUUAUCAAAAUUUAUGGAUUUUUGCUGAUAAAUAAAUUUAGAUUCUCAGAAUUUUAUGGUUUAUUUGAUUAUAUAAUACAAAAUUAGUUUUGUUACAAAGAAUGGAAGGACGAAUGAAAUGAUAGAAAAUGAAAUAUAAAAAAAUAGAAAAAAAAGGAUAGAGUAAAUGCGGAGGGAUAUUUUUGAGAAAUUAAUAUACAAUGCAAAUAAUUUAUCACAGAUUUAUGAUGUUUUAUUUCUCAGUUAAUUACAUUUCUCAUUUGUUAUUUUGUAGCUACUUGACUCAUAAAUAUAAAUUUUGACCAUUAAUAGGUCACAAAAUUUUACUACAAAACAAAAUCAGUAUAGAACAAUUACUCAUUUACUACCACAUCUAGAAGACUAAUUAUUUUUAACAGAUAAAUAUUCAAAAUUUUGCUUUUGUAACUAAAAACCACUUUAGAAAUUGAGAAAUUAUCAUGAAGAAUUUCCCAUUUAAAUAAAACUCCAACACAAACAAUAAAAUCACAAUAUCAUAAGAAAAAAAAAUGGAUUGCAAAAGAUCUACGCAUGCUUUCAUCUAUGCUUGCUAUGUUCUUGAUUUCAGGUCACGUAGAUGCUGAUGGUAACUCGUGCAAGUAUAGUCCCGGACCUUGUACAAAACAAUGCAACUUUGUGUGUUCAGGCUUCGGCUUUAAAUAUGGAGGACAUUGCAAGGGGACAAAAUGUCGCUGCAAAAGAGCAGCUUCCGAUCUACAAAGCCCUUGAACUAUAAUUUUUGUCUAAACCAACAAAGAUAGUGUCAUUUAUUAAACAAGCCAUAUAUAGUAGACCCGUUUUGGAUUUUGAUCCACUAUUUUGGGCUUAAUGUUUGUUGUAUGUAUUUUUUAUUUGGCCCUUUGUAAUUCAACCAUUAAAGUAAACUAUUAAAUGAAACUAGGGAUUAACCCGGGCUACGCCCGGGAUUUUUAUAUUUUUCUAAUUUAAGUUGUUAAAUUAUUUAUAUUUAGGUUAUGAUAUAUAUUUAUAUAAAUGUUAAGAUGUAUGUCAUAAUUAAAAUUUAUUUUUAAAUUUUAACACGUUAAAUUAACAUAUUUUUUACUAUUUAAAUAUUUUUUGUAAUUUUAUUGGCUAUCUAGUUAUCAUAUUUAGGAAAACUAUCUGUUGAGUGUUGGAAUAAAUGUUUUAGAUAUUUAAUUAAACUGCUGAGUAUUUUCGGAUCGACCACAUGCUUAACAAUCGAUCAAUCCGUAAAAAAGAUGGUCGAUCUUCUUGGCGAGGUAAUUACAAUUUUAGCAAAAAUAUCUUUGAUUUUCAAAUUUAAGUAUAUAACUAUUCUUUUGAAUAUUAUUUUUUAUUGUAUUUUUUGAUUAAAUUAUUGUAUUAUAAUGUUUAUGUAAAUAUUUUUUGUGAUGUUUGAAUUUGUGUUGUUCGUAUACUUAAUCUAGAUGAUAUUGAUGUUUAACCAUUUGUUUUU